CCUACGGGAGGCAGCAGUGGGGAAUUUUGGACAAUGGGCGAAAGCCUGAUCCAGCAAUGCCGCGUGCAGGAUGAAGGCCUUCGGGUUGUAAACUGCUUUUGUACGGAGCGAAAAGGUCCUUCCUAAUACGAGGGGCCCAUGACGGUACCGUAAGAAUAAGCACCGGCUAACUACGUGCCAGCAGCCGCGGUAAUACGUAGGGUGCGAGCGUUAAUCGGAAUUACUGGGCGUAAAGCGUGCGCAGGCGGUUAUAUAAGACAGAUGUGAAAUCCCCGGGCUCAACCUGGGACCUGCAUUUGUGACUGUAUAGCUAGAGUACGGUAGAGGGGGAUGGAAUUCCGCGUGUAGCAGUGAAAUGCGUAGAUAUGCGGAGGAACACCGAUGGCGAAGGCAAUCCCCUGGACCUGUACUGACGCUCAUGCACGAAAGCGUGGGGAGCAAACAGGAUUAGAUACCCUGGUAGUCCACGCCCUAAACGAUGUCAACUGGUUGUUGGGUCUUCACUGACUCAGUAACGAAGCUAACGCGUGAAGUUGACCGCCUGGGGGAGGACGGCCGGCGAGUUAGUUAACGUACGAAUUAGUAAGUUAGACGGCGUGAGACGUUGCCGACGGACGACGACGAGGGAGGAGG
RNAcentral lists this ribosomal RNA (633 nucleotides) under uncultured bacterium. RNAcentral describes it as "bacterial SSU rRNA". The stretch from base 1 to 542 matches the Rfam family "Bacterial small subunit ribosomal RNA", at positions 338 to 873 of the family's 1533-position model. The record is from RNAcentral.